Molecule: ribosomal RNA, 609 nt
Filed under: uncultured Bacteroidales bacterium
Lineage: Bacteria; Pseudomonadati; Bacteroidota; Bacteroidia; Bacteroidales
Description: bacterial SSU rRNA
Rfam family: Bacterial small subunit ribosomal RNA
Source: RNAcentral
CGGCGCACGGGUGAGUAACACGUAUCCAACCUGCCGUCUAUCUGGCCAGCUUCUGAAAGGAAAUUAAUCCAGGAUGGCAUCAUGAGUUCACAUGUCCGCAUGAUUAAAGGUAUUUUCCGGUAGACGAUGGGGAUGCGUUCCAUUAGAUAGUAGGCGGGGUAACGGCCCACCUAGUCAACGAUGGAUAGGGGUUCUGAGAGGAAGGUCCCCCACAUUGGAACUGAGACACGGUCCAAACUCCUACGGGAGGCAGCAGUGAGGAAUAUUGGUCAAUGGGCGAUGGCCUGAACCAGCCAAGUAGCGUGAAGGAUGACUGCCCUAUGGGUUGUAAACUUCUUUUAUAAAGGAAUAAAGUCGGGUAUGCAUACCCGUUUGCAUGUACUUUAUGAAUAAGGAUCGGCUAACUCCGUGCCAGCAGCCGCGGUAAUACGGAGGAUCCGAGCGUUAUCCGGAUUUAUUGGGUUUAAAGGGAGCGUAGAUGGAUGUUUAAGUCAGUUGUGAAAGUUUGCGGCUCAACCGUAAAAUUGCAGUUGAUACUGGAUGUCUUGAGUGCAGUUGAGGCAGGCGGAAUUCGUGGUGUAGCGGUGAAAUGCUUAGAUAUCACGAAGA